GUGCUUGCUUGGGCAGCACAUAUACUAAAAUUAGAAAGAUACAGAGAAGAUUAGUAUGGCCCCUGCACAAGGAUGACAUGCAAAUUCAUGAAGUGUUCCAUAUUUUA
Small nuclear RNA from Delphinapterus leucas (beluga whale), 107 nucleotides. Lineage: Eukaryota; Metazoa; Chordata; Mammalia; Artiodactyla; Monodontidae. The record is from Ensembl.